RNAcentral lists this ribosomal RNA (253 nucleotides) under uncultured bacterium. RNAcentral describes it as "partial 16S ribosomal RNA". It matches the Rfam family "Bacterial small subunit ribosomal RNA", at positions 524 to 776 of the family's 1533-position model. The record is from RNAcentral.
UACAGAGGUCUCAAGCGUUGUUCGGAUUCAUUGGGCGUAAAGGGUGCGUAGGUGGCGCGCUAAGUCAGGUGUGAAAUUUCGGAGCUUAACUCCGAAACUGCAUUUGAUACUGGCGUGCUUGAGGACUGGAGAGGAGACUGGAAUUCAUGGUGUAGCGGUGAAAUGCGCAGAUAUCAGGAGGAACACCGAUGGCGAAGGCAGGUCUCUGGGCCACUACUGACGCUGAGAAGCGAAAGCAUGGGGAGCGAACAGG